UUUAUGGAGAGUUUGAUCCUGGCUCAGGAUGAACGCUGGCGGCGUGCCUAAUACAUGCAAGUCGAGCGAACAGACAAGGAGCUUGCUCCUUUGACGUUAGCGGCGGACGGGUGAGUAACACGUGGGUAACCUACCUAUAAGACUGGGAUAACUUCGGGAAACCGGAGCUAAUACCGGAUAAUAUUUCGAACCGCAUGGUUCGAUAGUGAAAGAUGGUUUUGCUAUCACUUAUAGAUGGACCCGCGCCGUAUUAGCUAGUUGGUAAGGUAACGGCUUACCAAGGCGACGAUACGUAGCCGACCUGAGAGGGUGAUCGGCCACACUGGAACUGAGACACGGUCCAGACUCCUACGGGAGGCAGCAGUAGGGAAUCUUCCGCAAUGGGCGAAAGCCUGACGGAGCAACGCCGCGUGAGUGAUGAAGGUCUUCGGAUCGUAAAACUCUGUUAUUAGGGAAGAACAUACGUGUAAGUAACUGUGCACGUCUUGACGGUACCUAAUCAGAAAGCCACGGCUAACUACGUGCCAGCAGCCGCGGUAAUACGUAGGUGGCAAGCGUUAUCCGGAAUUAUUGGGCGUAAAGCGCGCGUAGGCGGUUUUUUAAGUCUGAUGUGAAAGCCCACGGCUCAACCGUGGAGGGUCAUUGGAAACUGGAAAACUUGAGUGCAGAAGAGGAAAGUGGAAUUCCAUGUGUAGCGGUGAAAUGCGCAGAGAUAUGGAGGAACACCAGUGGCGAAGGCGACUUUCUGGUCUGUAACUGACGCUGAUGUGCGAAAGCGUGGGGAUCAAACAGGAUUAGAUACCCUGGUAGUCCACGCCGUAAACGAUGAGUGCUAAGUGUUAGGGGGUUUCCGCCCCUUAGUGCUGCAGCUAACGCAUUAAGCACUCCGCCUGGGGAGUACGACCGCAAGGUUGAAACUCAAAGGAAUUGACGGGGACCCGCACAAGCGGUGGAGCAUGUGGUUUAAUUCGAAGCAACGCGAAGAACCUUACCAAAUCUUGACAUCCUUUGACAACUCUAGAGAUAGAGCUUUCCCCUUCGGGGGACAAAGUGACAGGUGGUGCAUGGUUGUCGUCAGCUCGUGUCGUGAGAUGUUGGGUUAAGUCCCGCAACGAGCGCAACCCUUAAGCUUAGUUGCCAUCAUUAAGUUGGGCACUCUAAGUUGACUGCCGGUGACAAACCGGAGGAAGGUGGGGAUGACGUCAAAUCAUCAUGCCCCUUAUGAUUUGGGCUACACACGUGCUACAAUGGACAAUACAAAGGGCAGCGAAACCGCGAGGUCAAGCAAAUCCCAUAAAGUUGUUCUCAGUUCGGAUUGUAGUCUGCAACUCGACUACAUGAAGCUGGAAUCGCUAGUAAUCGUAGAUCAGCAUGCUACGGUGAAUACGUUCCCGGGUCUUGUACACACCGCCCGUCACACCACGAGAGUUUGUAACACCCGAAGCCGGUGGAGUAACCAUUUGGAGCUAGCCGUCGAAGGUGGGACAAAUGAUUGGGGUGAAGUCGUAACAAGGUAGCCGUAUCGGAAGGUGCGGCUGGAUCACCUCCUUUCU
RNAcentral lists this ribosomal RNA (1553 nucleotides) under Staphylococcus haemolyticus. Its description in RNAcentral is "bacterial SSU rRNA". It matches the Rfam family "Bacterial small subunit ribosomal RNA". The record is from RNAcentral. Lineage: Bacteria; Bacillati; Bacillota; Bacilli; Caryophanales; Staphylococcaceae. RNAcentral also lists the same sequence under 1 other name.